This 468-nucleotide ribosomal RNA is filed under the name uncultured bacterium. RNAcentral's name for it is "partial 16S ribosomal RNA". It matches the Rfam family "Bacterial small subunit ribosomal RNA", at positions 28 to 507 of the family's 1533-position model. The record is from RNAcentral.
GACGAACGCUGGCGGCGUGCUUAACACAUGCAAGUCGAACGGAAAGGCCCUGCUUUUGUGGGGUGCUCGAGUGGCGAACGGGUGAGUAACACGUGAGUAACCUGCCCUUGACUUUGGGAUAACUUCAGGAAACUGGGGCUAAUACCGGAUAGGAGCUCCUGCUGCAUGGUGGGGGUUGGAAAGUUUCGGCGGUUGGGGAUGGACUCGCGGCUUAUCAGCUUGUUGGUGGGGUAGUGGCUUACCAAGGCUUUGACGGGUAGCCGGCCUGAGAGGGUGACCGGCCGCAUUGGGACUGAGAUACGGCCCAGACUCCUACGGGAGGCAGCAGUGGGGAAUAUUGCACAAUGGGCGGAAGCCUGAUGCAGCAACGCCACGUGCGGGAUGACGGCCUUCGGGUUGUAAACCGCUUUCGCCUGUGACGAAGCGUGAGUGACGGUAAUGGGUAAAGAAGCACCGGCUAACUACGUG